This 808-nucleotide ribosomal RNA is filed under the name Microbacterium sp. CN2-6. Its description in RNAcentral is "bacterial SSU rRNA". It matches the Rfam family "Bacterial small subunit ribosomal RNA", at positions 1 to 825 of the family's 1533-position model. The record is from RNAcentral. Lineage: Bacteria; Bacillati; Actinomycetota; Actinomycetes; Micrococcales; Microbacteriaceae.
UAGAGUUUGAUCCUGGCUCAGGAUGAACGCUGGCGGCGUGCUUAACACAUGCAAGUCGAACGGUGAACACGGAGCUUGCUCUGUGGGAUCAGUGGCGAACGGGUGAGUAACACGUGAGCAACCUACCCCUGACUCUGGGAUAAGCGCUGGAAACGGCGUCUAAUACUGGAUACGAGUGGCGACCGCAUGGUCAGCUACUGGAAAGAUUUAUUGGUUGGGGAUGGGCUCGCGGCCUAUCAGCUUGUUGGUGAGGUAAUGGCUCACCAAGGCGUCGACGGGUAGCCGGCCUGAGAGGGUGACCGGCCACACUGGGACUGAGACACGGCCCAGACUUCUACGGGAGGCAGCAGUGGGGAAUAUUGCACAAUGGGCGCAAGCCUGAUGCAGCAACGCCGCGUGAGGGAUGACGGCCUUCGGGUUGUAAACCUCUUUUAGCAGGGAAGAAGCGAAAGUGACGGUACCUGCAGAAAAAGCGCCGGCUAACUACGUGCCAGCAGCCGCGGUAAUACGUAGGGCGCAAGCGUUAUCCGGAAUUAUUGGGCGUAAAGAGCUCGUAGGCGGUUUGUCGCGUCUGCUGUGAAAUCCGGAGGCUCAACCUCCGGCCUGCAGUGGGUACGGGCAGACUAGAGUGCGGUAGGGGAGAUUGGAAUUCCUGGUGUAGCGGUGGAAUGCGCAGAUAUCAGGAGGAACACCGAUGGCGAAGGCAGAUCUCUGGGCCGUAACUGACGCUGAGGAGCGAAAGGGUGGGGAGCAAACAGGCUUAGAUACCCUGGUAGUCCACCCCGUAAACGUUGGGAACUAGUUGUGG